UACGGAGGGUGCAAGCGUUAUCCGGAUUCACUGGGUUUAAAGGGUGCGUAGGUGGGUCUGUAAGUCAGUGGUGAAAUCCCCGAGCUUAACUUGGGAACUGCCGUUGAUACUAUAGAUCUUGAAUAUCGUGGAGGUAAGCGGAAUAUGUCAUGUAGCGGUGAAAUGCUUAGAUAUGACAUAGAACACCAAUUGCGAAGGCAGCUUACUACACAGUUAUUGACACUGAGGCACGAAAGCGUGGGGAGCAAACAGG
This 253-nucleotide ribosomal RNA is filed under the name uncultured bacterium. RNAcentral describes it as "partial 16S ribosomal RNA". It matches the Rfam family "Bacterial small subunit ribosomal RNA", at positions 524 to 776 of the family's 1533-position model. The record is from RNAcentral.